UGCAAGUCGAGCGGAACGACUUAUCUGAACCUUCGGGGAACGUUAACGGCGUCGAGCGGCGGACGGGUGAGUAAUGCCUAGGAAAUUGCCUUGAUGUGGGGGAUAACCAUUGGAAACGAUGGCUAAUACCGCAUAAYGCCUACGGGCCAAAGAGGGGGACCUUCGGGCCUCUCGCGUCAAGAUAUGCCUAGGUGGGAUUAGCUAGUUGGUGAGGUAAUGGCUCACCAAGGCGACGAUCCCUAGCUGGUCUGAGAGGAUGAUCAGCCACACUGGAACUGAGACACGGUCCAGACUCCUACGGGAGGCAGCAGUGGGGAAUAUUGCACAAUGGGCGAAAGCCUGAUGCAGCCAUGCCGCGUGUAUGAAGAAGGCCUUCGGGUUGUAAAGUACUUUCAGUUGUGAGGAAGGGGGUGUCGUUAAUAGCGGCAUCUCUUGACGUUAGCAACAGAAGAAGCACCGGCUAACUCCGUGCCAGCAGCCGCGGUAAUACGGAGGGUGCGAGCGUUAAUCGGAAUUACUGGGCGUAAAGCGCAUGCAGGUGGUUCAUUAAGUCAGAUGUGAAAGCCCGGGGCUCAACCUCGGAACUGCAUUUGAAACUGGUGAACUAGAGUACUGUAGAGGGGGGUAGAAUUUCAGGUGUAGCGGUGAAAUGCGUAGAGAUCUGAAGGAAUACCAGUGGCGAAGGCGGCCCCCUGGACAGAUACUGACACUCAGAUGCGAAAGCGUGGGGAG
This 732-nucleotide ribosomal RNA is filed under the name Vibrio sp. RNAcentral describes it as "bacterial SSU rRNA". It matches the Rfam family "Bacterial small subunit ribosomal RNA", at positions 56 to 768 of the family's 1533-position model. Lineage: Bacteria; Pseudomonadati; Pseudomonadota; Gammaproteobacteria; Vibrionales; Vibrionaceae. The record is from RNAcentral.